RNAcentral lists this unclassified non-coding RNA (2660 nucleotides) under Zea mays. Its description in RNAcentral is "misc RNA Zm00001eb210010". Lineage: Eukaryota; Viridiplantae; Streptophyta; Magnoliopsida; Poales; Poaceae. The record is from RNAcentral.
GCCAUCUCCAUUUGAAUUUCAAAUUCCCCUCUCCUCCUCCUCCCUCACUCACCCACCGCGCACCCUGGCCAUUCAAUUUCUUCCCUCCUCUUCCCUUUCUUUUUUUCCCCAGCACCACCACCACCACCACCAGCAGCAGUAGCCAGGAUGGGGUGCGUGUCGUCCGCCUUGCUCGAGGAGGACGGCGCCGAGGACGACCGCCGCCGCAUCAUCUCGCACCACCACAUCGUCUCCCUCACCUCCUCCACCUACGGCAUCCUCACCAGCCCGCGAGCCUACUGCUCCUCCUCGUCGUCUUCCACUGCCCUUGGCUCAGAGCCGUUGGCUCGUUGCGCGCCUCCUCCUCCCCCUCCGCUGCCUCCCCCUCCACCGACGACGGCAAGACAACAAGCAGCCCCAGCACCGAAACCCGAAUCCCAGCCCCAGGCGGAGGUCAUCAACUCCUGGGAGCUCAUGGCAGGCCUCGUGGACCCCUCGACGCCGGGCAAGCCCACGAAGCUCGACGGCGGCGGCCAGCAGCGCCGCCGCCGCAUCCCUCUGCGCGCCAUCGACGGCAACUCUUCCGUCUCCAAGGCGCCGUCCUCGUCCGCGGUUGUGCUCUACACCACCUCCCUCCGCGGGGUCCGCGUCACCUUCGAGGCCUGCAACGCCGUCCGCGCGGCGCUGCAGGCGCACGGCGUCGCCUUCCGGGAGCGCGACGUGUCCAUGGACCGCGGGUUCAGGGACGAGCUGAGGAGCAGGCUGGGGCUGGGGCUGGGCGGCGGCAGAGCAGCAGCGGCGGGCAUGCUCCCCAGGCUGUUCGUGCGGGGCCGUCACGUGGGCGGCGCGGAGGACGUGCUGCGCCUGGACGAGGAGGGCCUCCUGGCGCGGCUGCUGGAGGGCCUGCCCAGGGCGCGCGGAGGGGCCUACUGCUGCGACGGAUGCGGCGGCAUGAGGUUCCUGCCCUGCUUCGACUGCUCGGGGAGCCGCAAGCUGGCUGUCGCGCUUCCCGUGGUGGCCUCCUCGCGGAAGAAAGCAGGGACCGUGGUGGUGCGAUGCGGGGAGUGCAACGAGAAUGGACUCGUGCUCUGCCCAAUCUGCUCCUGAAUAAAACGACGACAGAGGCAAUCUGGAUCGAAUUUGCUACAUAUGCGCUCCGUGCAAUUUUUAGAAACAUUUGCUGCGCUACUGCUACUGGUCUGAUUGAUGAUCAUCAUCAACAGGUAGUAAUAAUCAACAAGUACAUGAUCCUCAGCUGCAUGUCGUGAAGUCGCACAUGAGCCUUGUCCGCCCGCCGCCGCCCGCGUUGGCCCUGCGGAACCGCGCGCCCUCCAGGAGCACCCUCUGCCCGGAGCUGAGGAGCGCGCCGUUCAUGUGGUCCAUGACGCUGGCCGUGGUCGGGUACAGGAAGGGACCCCCGGGGGCGUUGUAGUAGGCGUUGAGCAGCGCCGCCGUGGCCUCCCGGAGCAGCGUGCGGUACAUGUCGCCGCGCCCCUCCAGCGCCUCCCCGAGCGUCAGCUCCGACCCGUACCGCUGCGCCGCCAGGGGCCCGAACGCCAUGGCCACCGUCGUGUUCGGGGUCACUACCUUCCAGUGGCAGCGGUGCUCCGGCGACGACCACAUGCUGCCAUGCCAUGCCAUGCAAUGCAAUGCAAAAUAGUCCCCAUCACCCCAUGGCAUGCAAAUGCAAAAACGAUGGACGGACGUACUCGUAGGUGCAGGCGGAGGAGCCCUGCGAUGCUGCCGUCGUUGGAGGCGGCGGCGGCGGCUGCAAUGUUUGUGGUAGUGGCUUUCGCCAGACGGGCGGCAGGAACCUUGACCUCCGGCGCCAGAAGAAGGGCGGCGAGGAAGAAGGCGAAGCCGGCGCCGGCGCCUGCGCCUGCGCCUGCGCCUGCGAAGAUGGCCUGCCCCGCCUGAACCUGUCGUGGUCGUGCCCCGGACAGAAGUCCAUGGCCUCCUCCGGUUGCGAGAGCAGCGGCGGCACGGUGUAGAGCGAGAGGCCCAGCAUGCGGAAGGCGAGGGUGAGCUCGCGCGGCACGGCGCCGCCACCUGAUGACGACGCGGCGCCGCAGUGGCCCGUCCCCUGGACGACGCGCGCCGUGCAGCGGUUCAUGUCCGGGGAGCCCUCCAUGCGGACGGAGAAGCCGCCGAACCAGUUGGUGUUGCUCUCCCGCACCGUCAGCGGGGUGUCGCCGCCGCCGCACUGGAUGGCCACGCGGGCGCCUGAUGCAUGCAUGCAUCAUCAAACACACACACGUCGACCUCGUGACCCAUCCAUCCAUCCAUCACAAGUUCAUUCAUUAGGUGCGAGGAUGCAACAGCAUGCAUGUACCUACCGUAGAGCGGGUAGUCGAAGAGUCCCCUGGCGCCGUCCUUGCACUGAUCGCAGAACACCAUGCCGGCCACCACCGUGCUGGCCAUGGCCGGCACCGCCACCGCGGCGAAUUCCAGCAGCAGCAGGGUCAGUAGUAGCCUGCUGGUGUUGAUGACCAUCAUAUGACGCGGCUCCUUCACCAUAUAUAUAAUAUAUGCAGCACAAGCAGAGCAGACGAUCGUUGUUGAUGCUUUGCCAGCAAAACUCAGAUGUGUAUAUAUAUAGAGAGAGAGAGAGCUGAACUAGCUAGCUCAAAGGUAUAGUAGUAAGUAGCUCGCUUUGCGUGACGCGGCCGAUUCGGCAACCA